AGUAGUAGGCAAGUGGUUGGACAAAAAGCAAGAAGCGGAUCCAUGUUGCUGGCUUUGGAUUCUUUGAACAAAUGAGACAGGCUGCUUCUUGCAUUGGAAAAUUCCAUCCUUUAACACUGGGAUUAUAUGUCACCAUUGCUGAAAUCAUAGAGUCUACUUAAUUGGCUUGCAAGCAUGAGAGAUAGCCAGAGAGAAUGGGAGAGGCCGAGCAUUCCCUUGCAUAAAGAGGGGAUUCAACAAGAUUCCAGAGCCCCUGCGUGGACAUGAUGUACGCAUGCGCCUGGCAGGGAGGGCGGCUCAACUGAGCAUGCUCCGGAGCUGGCCUCUGCCCACUUAACAGGGAGCCGAACCCUCUGUGCUUGUGACUGAUGGAUGGUUUCAAAUGGCCUUUAUUCUUCGCCGUAUGUUCUUUGGAUCAUAUUCUGAAUGGAUCAUUUGUUAAAGAUUGGAAGCCUUAGCAACCCAGAUGCUGAAAUUCAUGUUAACAAUUCAGUAAAUUGCCUGACGAUAUUGUUCACUUUAUCUGAGGAUGGUCUUUUUCUCAUCAAAAUCUGUCCCUCUGAAGAGGCCCCUGGACCUCAGAAACUUAGUGUCACAGAAAGAAAAGACAGUGACAUUAUGUCUAAAUUUGGUUUUCAUCUAAUUAAAAACAAACCAUUGUACAGAAGUGGUUACAAAUAGCAGCUAGUUGAUUUUUAAGCACAAAAUGUAAGAAUUGCAGACACGAGGUCAUGAAAGCAAUUGUUGAUGCUCAAAACCUGUAUUUCAAUGUGAGUGCCAAACAGCUAACACAGAAUAGCUCUUUCAUUGACUUCCUCUCUGUAUCCAGUGGCCUUGAAAUCAUUUUCACAAAAUUUUUGUGUCACUAGGACAUUUCCUGGUGACACCGGGCCCAGAAAUGGUAGAAGUUGCUCGAACUAGGGCCUGUAGGCACGUUAUAAAGUUUAUGGGUUUUAGAUAUGCCCUCCCAAAAUUUGAUGUUAAUCCUCACAUUUAAUUAAAUGUUUGCAUAUGUUGGAUAUUAAAGAUUAUACUAAGCACAAGAUUUAUAGUGUGUGUGGGGAUAAAACGUACACAUCUUUUUUUUUUACUCUCAGCUUUUUCUUUUUUUGUAAUACCCCAUCUUGGACAUCUGUGCAUUUCUCUCACCUUCUGGCCCACCUUUGAUGCCAGUCAUUGCUGGGCAACCGGCUUUGCGCAGGUGUAACCAGACGGGCCGUGUUUCAGCUGCACCCUGUGUCUCCCUGUCAGCCCUGGGGCUUCUCUGGGACGGUAUCUUGGAGUACAUGUGUGUGCCAUGUGUGGAAGUUGUGUGGGAAUCAACGCUUCAUGAGGCAACGCUCCAAAAGGAAAUGGGAGUCUCUAGGUUAAUGCUUCCCUUUUUCUUCCCGCAGACUGAAAAUUACACAGCCUCUUAGGGGGCCCUCAAUGGAGACAUGAUGGAUCACGUGACCACCUUUUCUUCCUGCUUCCCCACUUUGCUCCCUCCUGCCCUUGACUCCUGUCCUCUGGAUGCACUCUCCAAAAUAAUCUUCCUUUCCAAAACCCUUGUCACAGGCUCUGCUUUCUGCAAGGAACUUGGGGCAGGACAGCACGAUGAUACACUAGAAUGAAGGCGAAUUGUCUGUCUGUGAAUGGGCUUCAAAGAGAACUUGGGGAAACACCAGACCAGAGGCUCAUUGGAAUCAGAGCAUACAGAAUAGAAUGGACAGGCCCCCAUCCAGCUCUCACAAGUUCAAGUAUACGCUAACAAGUAUCUGAGUCUUCCACGAAGAACAGGAGGAGAAGCUCCCCCAGCCUGGUCAAGCCUUUUGAACAUCUGUAAAAGUACAUGUGACACGGAGAAGAAGCAGAGAACAAAAGAGCGUGUGGACAAACAUUCAGGAAUCCCAAUCGCAGGAGACUUUGGCCCUCUUUCUAGAUCUAAUUAUAAAACUGCAAAUGAUGCUGGCCUAUUCCAAGGAAGUUGUUGCUCUCACUCUAGAUGUGGUCUCUGGCGACAAGUAAAGGUGGGGAAGAUGGGGGCAGGGAGCGCCUCUUUGCUUCUGUCAUGAUCCAUUGUGAGCCAGUGUGGCCUUUCCAUCAGCCCGGUUGUUGGCUGCAUGCUCAGGAUUCUGAAAAAUCUAGUUACCUCCCUGUAUCUUUCUGUACCUGUAGAGAGUACAUCUGUAUGAUCUAGUCCAGUGGUUCUCAGAAUGUGGAUGAGACGACCUUUUGCUGAAGGCAGAUUUCCACAGGAGGGAGGUUAAGAAAGCCAAUUCUUGGGUUCCACCCCAGAUCUUCAGCAGUCUGUUCUGAUGAGCCUUCCAGGUGAUUCUGAAGCUGGCUUAAGUUUGCAAACCACUUCCCUGGGUCUCUUCCCUCUCAUCCUGGCUUUCAAGCUUAGGUGGGCUUCACCGUUGAUUCCAUACGCUGCCCAGAGAAUGGGCUCAGAAACAAAAGAUGUCUUUCUUUACCUCUUGAUAGCCAAGAGGUAAAUAAAGGGCUAGAACUGUGUAGGUAGCUACCUGGAUUACAGAGAGCUAUUUGCUGGACUUUGGAAGUCAGCUGUUUGGAAUGUGAGCUAUUUUCCUGGGAGUGGUGGUUAGGUUCCCAUAGCAUCAUAGUUAAUCCUGAAUCCAGCCAAAAUAUUGCUGUGUCACAAUGAAAUGGAGCAGAUCAUGAUGCUCCUGUAGUAUUAGAAACCAAUCAGAACAAAAUAAAGCAAUAAAUAAAACACAGGAAUAGUAUUUUAUUUAUGCCAGUACUGUGGUGGAAGGAAAGGUUGAUUUGGAGGUGGUGAAAAGGUAAAUGGGGAUUUGUCAAGAUUAUGACGGAGUGGCUGGCCUUUCCCUUUAGAAUGUCAUGGUACUAAGUUCUCUAGUUAGAUUUGUCUUGAAUGUGGUUCUGGCCUGUUACUUUAUCUUCUUCUGAAGUCAGAUUUCUCACUAGGAGGGAGGUAAAGAAUGCUGAGGCAAGUUGGCAAGAGUUGAAAAGGAGCAUGGAAAGAGUAAGGGACUAAAAGAGAAUGUGGGUUUGCUUUUCAUGAACACGAGCAUCAGCAGAGACAGGACUCACUUGAGUUGUGAGCGGUGAGAGAUGGCUGGGCCAAGAGAGGGUCAGCAUUCUUCGCUGACAAAAGAGAGGAAAGAAAGCAGACAAAAAAGCCGACCACAUCGCUCGGGAGCUGCUGUUCUGGAAGCGUUCCUGCCCCUCGUAUUGUCCUGAGAAUUGGCCCUCAACAGUCACCUUUCAUGUCAUCUUGCUCCUCUCUGGCCACAGAUGGGCAGCUGACCAGAGGCCUUGACAAUGACCACUGAUAUGGCAUAAGAAGAUGAGCUGGACCAAUCCAGCGUCCUCCCUUUUCCUUCUAGGCAUUUGAACUUGGAAAUACCCAGAAUGGUUGUUCGAUCUGUGAUGGGAAGAAGUACGUGGCUGUGAGCAUGUUACUUGUUUUCCAGUCAAAUGCUUCUAGCUUGCUUUCCUCUGGUGGCUAAAAUACUUUCUUCAGGGGUUCACCCUGCAUUUAUUCAGGAUUUUAUUUUUGUACCAUAAAAAUGAUCCUCGCUGACGGUUGCAUGGCUGGAUUUGGGGAAAUGUGGUAGCCCUAAUGGAAUUAAUUAAUUGAAUAAUAUUGCCUGACAAAUGGCUCUGUAUACCAAAGAGGGAUUGAGACCUAAUUACCGAUGUCAUUUAUCUCUCUAUUUGCACCCCAACAAUAAAUGACUCGUUUCU
This 3714-nucleotide long non-coding RNA is filed under the name Sus scrofa (pig). RNAcentral describes it as "lncRNA (ENSSSCG00025010695.1, ENSSSCG00110015737.1, ENSSSCG00130034707.1, ENSSSCG00160039715.1)". Lineage: Eukaryota; Metazoa; Chordata; Mammalia; Artiodactyla; Suidae. The record is from RNAcentral.